RNAcentral lists this ribosomal RNA (319 nucleotides) under uncultured eukaryote. Its description in RNAcentral is "partial 18S ribosomal RNA". It matches the Rfam family "Eukaryotic small subunit ribosomal RNA", at positions 1470 to 1796 of the family's 1831-position model. The record is from RNAcentral.
CCCUUAGAUGAUUUGGGCUGCACGCGCGCUACACUGACCCUAACAAUGAGCAACUGUCUGGCCUGAGAUGGCUGGGUAGCCUUUUCAACCCAUGUCAUGAUUGGGCUAGAUUUUUGUAAGUCUUGAUCUCUAACGAGGAAUCCCUAGUAUGCGUGAAUCAUCAAUCCAUGCAGAUUAUGUCCCUGCCCUUUGUACACACCGCCCGCCGCUCCUACUGAUUGGGUGAUCCGGUGAGCUGUUCGGCCAUAGCAAAGUUUCUUGAGCAGGGCAAUGAAUGUUUCGCAAACCUUGCCACUUAGAGGAAGGAGAAGUCGUAACA